GAGUAGCUCAGCUGGUUAGAGCACAGGAUUCAUAACCCUGAGGUCGGGAGUUCAAGUCUCCCCUC
RNAcentral lists this transfer RNA (65 nucleotides) under Parasynechococcus marenigrum. It matches the Rfam family "tRNA", at positions 5 to 66 of the family's 71-position model. Rfam says of the family: Transfer RNA (tRNA) molecules are approximately 80 nucleotides in length. Their secondary structure includes four short double-helical elements and three loops (D, anti-codon, and T loops). The record is from RNAcentral. RNAcentral also lists the same sequence under 1 other name. Lineage: Bacteria; Bacillati; Cyanobacteriota; Cyanophyceae; Synechococcales; Prochlorococcaceae.